RNAcentral lists this ribosomal RNA (393 nucleotides) under uncultured bacterium. Its description in RNAcentral is "partial 16S ribosomal RNA". It matches the Rfam family "Bacterial small subunit ribosomal RNA", at positions 523 to 918 of the family's 1533-position model. The record is from RNAcentral.
AUACGGAGGAUCCGCGCGUUAUCCGGAUUUAUUGGGUUUAAAGGGAGCGUAGGUGGACAGUUAAGUCAGUUGUGAAAGUUUGCGGCUCAACCGUAAAAUUGCAGUUGAUACUGGCUGUCUUGAGUACAGUAGAGGUGGACGGAAUUCGUGGUGUAGCGGUGAAAUGCUUAGAUAUCACGAAGAACUCCGAUUGCGAAGGCAGCUCACUGGACUGCAACUGACACUGAUGCUCGAAAGUGUGGGUAUCAAACAGGAUUAGAUACCCUGGUAGUCCACACAGUAAACGAUGAAUACUCGCUGUUUGCGAUAUACAGUAAGCGGCCAAGCGAAAGCAUUAAGUAUUCCACCUGGGGAGUACGCCGGCAACGGUGAGACUUAAAGGAAUUGACGGGG